UACAGAGGGGGCAAGCGUUAUUCGGAAUUAUUGGGCGUAAAGGGCGCGUAGGCGGCCUGGCAAGUGGAAGGUGAAAUCCCUCGGCUUAACCGAGGAACUGCCCUCCAAACUGCUUGGCUUGAGUCCGGGAGAGGUGAGUGGAAUUCCCAGUGUAGCGGUGAAAUGCGUAGAUAUUGGGAGGAACACCAGUGGCGAAGGCGGCUCACUGGACCACAACUGACGCUGAGGCGCGAAAGCCAGGGGAGCGAACGGG
RNAcentral lists this ribosomal RNA (253 nucleotides) under uncultured bacterium. Its description in RNAcentral is "partial 16S ribosomal RNA". It matches the Rfam family "Bacterial small subunit ribosomal RNA", at positions 524 to 776 of the family's 1533-position model. The record is from RNAcentral.